RNAcentral lists this unclassified non-coding RNA (1263 nucleotides) under Zea mays. RNAcentral describes it as "misc RNA Zm00001eb404210". The record is from RNAcentral. Lineage: Eukaryota; Viridiplantae; Streptophyta; Magnoliopsida; Poales; Poaceae.
CCGCCGCCGACAUGUACCCUCCUCUCGGGCUGACUAUGUGCGGGUUCCCGCGCCCGUCGCCGGCCGCCGGGUCGUCGAGCACGGAGAUCUCGGCGAGGUCCGGCCGGGGCGAGCCGGUCUCGCCGGGCGCGCGCUGCUGCUCGUGCUCGGCGCGCCACUGCCUGAGCUCCCGCUCCGCCGACAGCUUUUCGAACUCCGCCUCGUCGGCCUCCAGCGUCGCGGCUUCCAGCGCCUGCCGCCUCUGCUCGGUCCGCUUCGCCAGCCGAGCGACCUUCUCCAGCUUCCUCGCCUCCGCGUCCUUGGCCUCCUCGACCAGCUUCACCGCCUCGACCACCCGCAUGCUGUCGGCCUCCUCUGUCUCCUGCGCUCUCCGGCGCAGCUCGUUGUAAUCGUCCACCGUCAGCGUCACCUCCGACGUGUCCGCGGCGAGUAUCUCCCGCGUCACCGCCUCCAGCCGCGCCUCCAUGGCGGCGAGGGCUGCCUUGGCCACGCCCGCGUCUUCCCUGGCCCUGGCGACCUUCUCUCGAGCCGACUGGGCCUUCGCCUUCGCUUCCUCCGCUUCUCGCCGUGCCUGGCCUACCCGCUCGGCCAUCUUGCUAUCGUCGUCGUCCGCCUUCGCUCCUGCCUCCGCCGCGGCGACCUCGGUGGUCACUCGCCUCAACUCCUCCUCGGGGUAAGGAAUGGACGCUGGCGAGAGCCCUUCCCUCUCCCUCCGCCGCAGCGCGGUGAGCUCCGCUUUCUCCUUCUCCAGCUCAUCGCGCAUCGAGGCGGCGGCGACGCGCAGGCACUUGACCUCGUCCUUGGCCCACUCAAUGCUCGCCUUCACGUCGUCCAGCUCCUUCUCGGUCUUCUCCUGCAUCGACUGGGUGCUCGCCGCCGGCUUCUCCUCCUGGCCAGGCGUUCCUUCGACGGCGCAAGCGAACAGCUCGGUUUUGAGGCUCGCCAUCAGUUGGGAAGCUGCCUCCGCCUUCAUCUCGACCUCGCGCAGCCUCUUGUCCUCCCGCUCGGCUUCCUCCAGCUCGAUCUGCCACCGUGUCUUGUCAUCCUCCCACGCGACGGCCAGGCUCCUCGUCUUCUCCUCCGCCUCGACAUGAGCGGCGCGCGAGGACUCCAGCUCCCCUUUCAGCGCGGCGAGCUCGGCCGCGAGGUCCUCGACGGCCUUCCCAGCCUCCCGCGACGCCGCGGCGGCCUCCCGCGCCCGCGCCACCGCCGCGCCCGCCUCGGCCGCGGCGCGCGCGUGCUCCUUCUCCAGCGACUCUACUU